GCUGGAAGAUAAGGAGCACUUUGCGAGUGAUGGCUGGCUACUGAAAGAGCAAAUAGAAAGACUUUUUGAAAAUGGUUAAAGUUGAAGAAACUUGGAAAGGACUUAAAUAAAGCUCUUGUUUCCUUUCGUCUUUGGGAGAUGUUUAUCUACCGAUAAGACUUUUUUCCAACUGGCUACAGCUAGAGAUCUCUGAAGACCCCUACAUGUUUCAUUGCUGUCUUCAACAUUGAGAAAGAAAAAGAGAAUGAAGAAAUGUGCCGGGGGAAAAAAAGGAACUCUUGCUUCCAAGACAUAAGAGAGUGAAGGAAUAGAGGCAAAAUUUGAAGUUCUAAGACUGCAUAUAAUUCUCGUCAUGGCAGUGUUCAAGUGAUAAAUUGUUCACAGAAGCACUACUUGAUUAUGGUCCUUCAGGGACCCCAGACCUCCCAACACUGCUGAAGUCUGUGCAACAAUGACAGACCUCUUAGGAUGAUCCACCAGGGAGAGCUUAGACGGCCGCAAAUGGUUUCUAAGUAACCUUUGGGUAG
This is a long non-coding RNA of Zalophus californianus (California sea lion), 527 nucleotides long. RefSeq lists it as uncharacterized. The transcript is spliced from 3 exons. NCBI's taxonomy places the organism in Eukaryota, Metazoa, Chordata, Mammalia, Carnivora, Otariidae. The record is from RefSeq and is a predicted model, not a curated record.